RNAcentral lists this ribosomal RNA (538 nucleotides) under Halosaurus ovenii. Its description in RNAcentral is "partial 16S ribosomal RNA". It matches the Rfam family "Bacterial large subunit ribosomal RNA", at positions 1922 to 2597 of the family's 2925-position model. The record is from RNAcentral. Lineage: Eukaryota; Metazoa; Chordata; Actinopteri; Notacanthiformes; Halosauridae.
GUUAAACGGCCGCGGUAUUCUGACCGUGCUAAGGUAGCGUAAUCACUUGUCUUUUAAAUGAAGACCCGUAUGAACGGCAUCACGAGGGCUCAGCUGUCUCCUCCCCCCAGUCAAUGAAAUUGAUCUGCCCGUGCAGAAGCGGACAUAAAACCAUAAGACGAGAAGACCCUAUGGAGCUUAAGACAAAAAGCCAAACAUGUUAAACGACCCAUAAACCAACUGGAAUAAAAGGUAUUUAAGCCCUAUGUUAUCUGGCCAGAAUGUCUUCGGUUGGGGCGACCUCGGAGGAAAAAUAAGCCUCCGCAUGGAAUGGGGAAACACCCCUAAAACUAAGAAAUACAAAUCUAAGUAGCAAAAACUUUGACCAACAAUGACCCGGACUCCGUCCGAUCAACGAACCAAGUUACCCUAGGGAUAACAGCGCAAUCCCUUCCCAGAGUCCAUAUCGACGAAGGGGUUUACGACCUCGAUGUUGGAUCAGGACAUCCUAAUGGUGCAGCCGCUAUUAAGGGUUCGUUUGUUCAACGAUUAAAGUCCU